This 406-nucleotide ribosomal RNA is filed under the name uncultured bacterium. RNAcentral describes it as "partial 16S ribosomal RNA". It matches the Rfam family "Bacterial small subunit ribosomal RNA", at positions 29 to 526 of the family's 1533-position model. The record is from RNAcentral.
AUUGAACGCUGGCGGCAGGCCUAACACAUGCAAGUCGAACGAGUGGCGGACGGGUGUGUAACGUCUGGGAAACUGCCCGAUAGAGGGGGAUAACUACUGGAAACGGUAGCUAAUACCGCAUACCAUCGGAUGUGCCCAGAUGGGAUUAGCUAGUAGGGGGGGUAACGGCUCACCUAGGCGACGAUCCCUAGCUGGUCUGAGAGGAUGACCAGCCACACUGGAACUGGGACACGGUCCAGACUCCUAAGGGAGGCAGCAGUGGGGAAUAGGGCGCAGUGGGCGCAAGCCUGAUGCAGCCAUGCCGCGUGUAUGAAGAAGUCCUUCGGGGUGUAAAGUACUUUCAGCGGGGGGGCGUUACUCGCAGAAGAAGCACCGGCUAACUCCGUGCCAGCAGCCGCGGUAAUAC